UUUUAUGGAGAGUUUGAUCCUGGCUCAGGAUGAACGCUGGCGGCGUGCCUAAUACAUGCAAGUCGAGCGAACGGACGAGAAGCUUGCUUCUCUGAUGUUAGCGGCGGACGGGUGAGUAACACGUGGAUAACCUACCUAUAAGACUGGGAUAACUUCGGGAAACCGGAGCUAAUACCGGAUAAUAUUUUGAACCGCAUGGUUCAAAAGUGAAAGACGGUCUUGCUGUCACUUAUAGAUGGAUCCGCGCUGCAUUAGCUAGUUGGUAAGGUAAUGGCUUACCAAGGCAACGAUGCAUAGCCGACCUGAGAGGGUGAUCGGCCACACUGGAACUGAGACACGGUCCAGACUCCUACGGGAGGCAGCAGUAGGGAAUCUUCCGCAAUGGGCGAAAGCCUGACGGAGCAACGCCGCGUGAGUGAUGAAGGUCUUCGGAUCGUAAAACUCUGUUAUUAGGGAAGAACAUAUGUGUAAGUAACUGUGCACAUCUUGACGGUACCUAAUCAGAAAGCCACGGCUAACUACGUGCCAGCAGCCGCGGUAAUACGUAGGUGGCAAGCGUUAUCCGGAAUUAUUGGGCGUAAAGCGCGCGUAGGCGGUUUUUUAAGUCUGAUGUGAAAGCCCACGGCUCAACCGUGGAGGGUCAUUGGAAACUGGAAAACUUGAGUGCAGAAGAGGAAAGUGGAAUUCCAUGUGUAGCGGUGAAAUGCGCAGAGAUAUGGAGGAACACCAGUGGCGAAGGCGACUUUCUGGUCUGUAACUGACGCUGAUGUGCGAAAGCGUGGGGAUCAAACAGGAUUAGAUACCCUGGUAGUCCACGCCGUAAACGAUGAGUGCUAAGUGUUAGGGGGUUUCCGCCCCUUAGUGCUGCAGCUAACGCAUUAAGCACUCCGCCUGGGGAGUACGACCGCAAGGUUGAAACUCAAAGGAAUUGACGGGGACCCGCACAAGCGGUGGAGCAUGUGGUUUAAUUCGAAGCAACGCGAAGAACCUUACCAAAUCUUGACAUCCUUUGACAACUCUAGAGAUAGAGCCUUCCCCUUCGGGGGACAAAGUGACAGGUGGUGCAUGGUUGUCGUCAGCUCGUGUCGUGAGAUGUUGGGUUAAGUCCCGCAACGAGCGCAACCCUUAAGCUUAGUUGCCAUCAUUAAGUUGGGCACUCUAAGUUGACUGCCGGUGACAAACCGGAGGAAGGUGGGGAUGACGUCAAAUCAUCAUGCCCCUUAUGAUUUGGGCUACACACGUGCUACAAUGGACAAUACAAAGGGCAGCGAAACCGCGAGGUCAAGCAAAUCCCAUAAAGUUGUUCUCAGUUCGGAUUGUAGUCUGCAACUCGACUACAUGAAGCUGGAAUCGCUAGUAAUCGUAGAUCAGCAUGCUACGGUGAAUACGUUCCCGGGUCUUGUACACACCGCCCGUCACACCACGAGAGUUUGUAACACCCGAAGCCGGUGGAGUAACCUUUUAGGAGCUAGCCGUCGAAGGUGGGACAAAUGAUUGGGGUGAAGUCGUAACAAGGUAGCCGUAUCGGAAGGUGCGGCUGGAUCACCUCCUUUCU
RNAcentral lists this ribosomal RNA (1555 nucleotides) under Staphylococcus aureus subsp. aureus Tager 104. RNAcentral describes it as "16S ribosomal RNA". It matches the Rfam family "Bacterial small subunit ribosomal RNA". The record is from RNAcentral. Lineage: Bacteria; Bacillati; Bacillota; Bacilli; Caryophanales; Staphylococcaceae.